GACGAACGCUGGCGGCGUGCUUAACACAUGCAAGUCGAGCGGUAAGGCCCUUUCGGGGGUACACGAGCGGCGAACGGGUGAGUAACACGUGGGUGACCUGCCCUCAGCUCUGGGAUAAGCCUGGGAAACCGGGUCUAAUACUGGAUAUGACUCCAUGACGCAUGUUGUGGGGUGGAAAGCCUUGUGCGGCUGAGGAUGGGCCCGCGGCCUAUCAGCUUGUUGGUGGGGUGANGGCCUACCAAGGCGACGACGGGUAGCCGGCCUGAGAGGGCGACCGGCCACACUGGGACUGAGACACGGCCCAGACUCCUACGGGAGGCAGCAGUGGGGAAUCUUGCGCAAUGGGACGAAAGCCUGACGCAGCGACGCCGCGUGAGGGAUGACGGCCUGG
Molecule: ribosomal RNA, 391 nt
Filed under: uncultured bacterium
Lineage: Bacteria
Description: bacterial SSU rRNA
Rfam family: Bacterial small subunit ribosomal RNA
Source: RNAcentral